This is a small nuclear RNA of Nomascus leucogenys (northern white-cheeked gibbon), 107 nucleotides long. NCBI's taxonomy places the organism in Eukaryota, Metazoa, Chordata, Mammalia, Primates, Hylobatidae. The record is from Ensembl.
GUACUCGCUUUGGCAGCACACAUAUUAAAAUUGGAAAGAUACAGAGAAGAUUAGCAUGGCCCCUGCAUAAGGGUGACACGCAAAUUCGUGAAGCAUUCCAUAUUUUU